This 2127-nucleotide unclassified non-coding RNA is filed under the name Portunus trituberculatus (swimming crab). RNAcentral's name for it is "histone deacetylase 11-like, transcript variant X4". Lineage: Eukaryota; Metazoa; Arthropoda; Malacostraca; Decapoda; Portunidae. The record is from RNAcentral.
CACUACUAAACCUAACUCCAAAAUCUCUUCCAUACCCAUCAACCACAUCCAACAGACUUUGCAGCUCCUCUGCUGACUCACUCAUAACCACUACGUCAUCUGCAUAAAGGAAUAUAGAAUCCUUGACCUUGAUCAACCCGGGCAACACCACUAUCAUCAUCAGCAAAUAUCCGUGUUUACUCCACUCAGCUGUCUAGUGCGUGACGGAGGGGGAUAGACAUUGUGGUAUAAGCUUAGCAGUGACAGCUCAAGGGCCCUACUAGUGACGCCUCAAGAAGGCAGGCACACUGGAUUGGCGAACAUAACGUUGUGCAUUGAGUGACAAUAAACCAGUGUCAGCGGCGACUGUCACUCACCAUUGGUCGGCUACAUUCCGCGGGAAGCAAGGUUUCUAUAUUGGCGGGGAGUCACCUGCCAUCCCAUAGGUUGGCCAGCAAAGUCGAGUCCUGCCCAGAGGCAAGAAGGUCUGGUUGGGCGUACAUAGCUGGUGGUCUAGGGAAGCUUGUCAGCACUUUGGUGAUGGCUGCCUUAAGGAGUUUGCUUUUAGUUCAAGAAGGUUGCAGUUUCAGACUCAAUGGCAUCAGUGAGCCCAGAAGAAACUGUUGAAAAUGACUCGAUGCCUAAAAACAUGGCUGCAGAGAGCAAGCUAUACAUGGAUGUGGGAGAUGACAGUGUCUCACUAAUAUAUCGAGAUGAGUAUAACAUCCACCUUCUUGGAAUGGAGAAGCUUCAUCCCUUUGAUGCCUGUAAAUGGGGAAAUGUUGUGAAGCAUCUGAAGAAGAAGCAGUGGACAAAGGAAUUAAAGGUGGUGACUCCAAAUGAAGCAACAGAAAGUGACCUGAGACUGGUGCACUCGGCAUCUUACUUACGUAGCCUCAAGUGGAGUAUAAAUGUGGCAAAAAUAACAGAGGUGGCACCAGCUGCCCUUGUACCUAAUAUUUUCCUGCAGAAGAGAGUCUUGAAGCCAUUCAGGUACCAAACAGGUGGCAGUGUGCUGGCUGGGAAGUUGGCCAUGGAGCGUGGCUGGGCCAUCAAUAUUGGAGGCGGCUUUCACCACUGCUGGGGGAAUGAGGGUGGCGGGUUCUGUGCCUAUGCAGAUAUUUCCCUCACCAUCCAUUUCGUUCUCAACAAUUACCCCUCAGUGGAGCGUGUUAUGAUCAUAGACCUUGAUGCUCAUCAGGGGAAUGGCCAUGAAAGAGACUUCAUGGGCAGGAAAGACAUCUAUAUUCUUGACGUAUACAACAAGUAUAUUUACCCCAAUGAUUCAUAUGCCAAGAAAGCCAUUCGUCGCAGGGUGGAGCUCUUUGCUUACACCCAGGACGAAGAGUACCUAGAGAAAGUCAGCACGCAUGUUGAGGGUGCCCUGAAUGAAUUCAGCCCACAGAUGGUGAUCUACAAUGCUGGGACAGACAUUAUGGAGGGAGACAGUCUAGGUCUUCUCUCAGUCACAAAGCAGGGCAUCAUUGAGAGGGAUGAGAUUGUAUUCCGCAAAGUGACCCACCGACAAGUGCCCAUCGUCAUGCUUACCAGUGGAGGCUACCAGCGCUCCACAGCUGCUGUUAUUGCCGACUCCAUAUGGAAUCUCAGUAAAAAAUCUCUAAUUAAUAUGUGAUCACUGCAUGGUGGCCUUCAGUCUUUUAACAGAAAUAGUGUGUGUGUGUGUGUAUGUGUGUGUGUGUGUGUGUGUGUGUGUGUGUGUGUGUGUGUGUGUGUGUGUGUGUGUGUUUCUGUUUGUAUGUGUGUGAGUGAGUGAUUGCAUGAGUGAGAGAUAUUCACAUCAUUGUUGCACUCAUGAUUGAUUUUUACUGUGUUGUUUUGAAUGUAUUUUCGCACAGACAUACAAGUCCUCUAAGUCCCAGUGCAUAUGGUGCAUCCUUUAAAAAUGAAGGCUGUCAUUUUCACUGUCUUGGUGUCAAAUCUGAGCAAGAGCACCAUAAAUAGCAAGGUUUCCUCUCCCAAAAUAGCAGUCUGUUUUCAUUGCCUCAAAGGAUGGUCACACCCUUUCUGUCAUCCCAGGGGUGUACAGGUAGGUGCUCCUGGAAUAGACAGGGGAAGACUCAUCUAUCAAAUUACAGUGAACAGAUCGUAGUGAUAGGCAACUGAGUUUUGUGAAAUAUAUAUAUAUAU